This 309-nucleotide ribosomal RNA is filed under the name Triticum aestivum (bread wheat). RNAcentral's name for it is "partial small subunit ribosomal RNA". Lineage: Eukaryota; Viridiplantae; Streptophyta; Magnoliopsida; Poales; Poaceae. The record is from RNAcentral.
AUGAAUGGAAUAGGUGGCAUCUGGAACCCAGGAAUGGUAGGCAUAGUUGUUGGUAUUGUGAUCGGGAUGGAUGGAAUAAUAGUUGGAAUUGAGGGCAUUGGUGGCAUGGUAACAGGCAAAGUAGGAAUGGUCGGCAUGGUGGUUGGGAUCGCCGGAAUCGGAAGAGAUGGAACUGUGCCAGUGGCGGUUGGUGCCAUGGCGACCUUCGGGAUCGGAAUGAACGGUAUUGGUGGCAUUGUGAGUUUCGGAACUGCGGGAAUGGAAGGAAUUGAAGGCAAUGUGGUUGGAACUUCCGGCGUCGAAGGCUGA